UACGUAGGGGGCUAGCGUUGCCCGGAAUUACUGGGCGUAAAGCGCACGUAGGCGGUCUUUUAAGUCGGGGGUGAAAUCCUGGAGCUCAACUCCAGAACUGCCUUCGAUACUGGAAGACUUGAGUCCGGGAGAGGUGAGUGGAACUGCGAGUGUAGAGGUGAAAUUCGUAGAUAUUCGCAAGAACACCAGUGGCGAAGGCGGCUCACUGGCCCGGUACUGACGCUGAGGUGCGAAAGCGUGGGGAGCAAACAGG
This 253-nucleotide ribosomal RNA is filed under the name uncultured bacterium. RNAcentral's name for it is "partial 16S ribosomal RNA". It matches the Rfam family "Bacterial small subunit ribosomal RNA", at positions 524 to 776 of the family's 1533-position model. The record is from RNAcentral.